RNAcentral lists this ribosomal RNA (492 nucleotides) under uncultured bacterium. RNAcentral describes it as "partial 16S ribosomal RNA". It matches the Rfam family "Bacterial small subunit ribosomal RNA", at positions 29 to 507 of the family's 1533-position model. The record is from RNAcentral.
AGUGAACGCUGGCGGUAGGCCUAACACAUGCAAGUCGAACGGCAGCACAGUAAGAGCUUGCUCUUACGGGUGGCGAGUGGCGGACGGGUGAGGAAUACAUCGGAAUCUACUUUUUCGUGGGGGAUAACGUAGGGAAACUUACGCUAAUACCGCAUACGACCUACGGGUAAAAGCAGGGGAUCUUCGGACCUUGCGCGAUUGAAUGAGCCGAUGACGGAUUAGUUGGUUGGCGGGGUAAAGGCCCACCAAGGCGACGAUCCGUAGCUGGUCUGAGAGAACGGUCAGCCACACGAGAGGUGGAACACGGUCCAGACUACUACGGGAGGCAGCAGUGGGGAAUAUUGGACAGUGGGCGCGAGCCUGAUCCAGCCAGACCGCGUGGGUGGAGGAGGCCUUCGGGUUGUAAAGCCCUUUUGUGGGGAGAGAAAAGCAGCAGGUUGAUACCCCGCUGUUCUGACGGUACCCAAAGAAUAAGCACCGGCUAACUUCGUG